UCCCUCGUGCUGCUCAUCUUCAACAAGCUGGCCGACGCGCGGUCGCUGGGGCGCUGCUCCGCGGUGUCGCGCCGCUUCAGCGCGCUGGUCCCGCUCGUGGACGACGCCUGCUCGCCGUCCUCAAGUCCGUGCUGCUCGCCGUGCUCAAGCCCUUCGCGCACUGCGACGCCAAGUCCGCGUCGCCGCAAAAGCACGCGCAGCAGCACCACUCGCCCGCCCAGGUGCUGAGGAACUUCAGCAGCAUCCGCAGCCUCCGGAUGGAGCUCCCGGUCUCCGACGUGGGCACCGACGACGGCGUCGUGCUCAGGUGGAAGGCCGUGUUCGGCAGCACGCUGCAGAGCUGCGUCAUCCUCGGCGGCACCAGGGUGGACCGCGCCGCGGCCGCGGGACCGCCGCACGCCCCCUCCUCCGCUCCCCCCGCGGGCGACGACGACGGCGGCAGCAUCCCGGAGUCCCUGUACACCAACGGCGGCCUCAAGCUGCGCGUCGUCUGGACCAUCAGCUCCCUCAUCGCCGCGGCCACCAGGCACUACCUCCUUCGCGAGAUCGUCAAGGAGCACCCCACCCUGGAGCGGGUGGCGCUGACGGACGCCGGCGGGCAGGGCACGCUCAGCAUGGGGCGCGACCAGCUCAGGGAGUUCAGGGACAGUCCGCUCGCCGCCGCGCCCGCCGCCGCCGCCAACCGAACCCAGGUGCCCGCCUGCAACAUGAAGCUGCGCUACGCGCCGCUGCUGGAGCUCUCGGACGGCACCAGGAUCCACGGCGCCACGCUCGUGGUCAUCAAGCCCAUCGGCGACGCCGGCGGGAAGGACCUCGACGAGCUCGGCGCCGGCGCCUUCGACGGGCCCAUGAAGGAGGCCGUGGCCGCGCUCGGCAAGCGCCGCGCCUACCUGCUCGAGAUGAACGGCUUCUAGUCUGCGCGCCUCUCUG
Molecule: RNA transcript, 930 nt
Organism: Zea mays
Lineage: Eukaryota; Viridiplantae; Streptophyta; Magnoliopsida; Poales; Poaceae
Gene name: F-box protein At5g46170-like
Exons: 1
Source: RefSeq, a predicted model, not a curated record